CAUCUCAUGUGGCCCCGCGGAUUCUCGGAACACGAUUUAAACCGAAUGUACCUUCACGAUCACGCCCUGACACAUCCGCAGUGUUUUGUUGUCCUCUUGCACAAGCGCACAUUCGUCGAAGUCUUCUCAACUGACAGAUAUCACAAGUCAAAGUAUUCAUCAGGCAGCGUUGCUUCUCUUCUUUUUUCCUUUUUACUCAUCCACUUCGUGACGUCCAAACGACGGUGUGACGAAGUCGCGUCGUGUGAUGCCUUUUUUGCAUAACCCCUGUUUCUUUUUUUCCUCACACACUCACUCGUCUCGGCUCCCGCUGCCCUAAUGUCCACUGUACGAGCGCGUGGACGUCCGUCAGUGGUACAAUCAAGCUUUUUCUUAGGAAGACAGGAAAUGACAGGAAUAUCAUCCAAGGACGACCGUUCACCUUCAAACCUGCUUUUGCGUGGACAUCCUUCUCAUCCCCACGCGGCGGGAGUAAAUAAGACAGCGGGAGGAAUCGGGAAUCCCCUGCUUAACGGCUUCUUUGAUAAAAAGAAAGGGAGAGCGCUGCACCCAGCAGAUGGUACGUGGUUCCUGGAUAAGGGCUGAACAUGAUGUACAUUAUUAACUUACGUUGUGCAGAAUAAAAGAUGCUUGUCGGGAAUUCUUGGUAAAAGUGCUUGAACAUCAUGUAUGAUACCAUGUAAAUCUGUUUGAUUACAGGCGUGCACAAAAUGUGACUGGGUAAUAAAAAUGUUCAAUGGGAA
This is a long non-coding RNA of Cyclopterus lumpus (lumpfish), 743 nucleotides long. RefSeq lists it as uncharacterized. The record is from RefSeq and is a predicted model, not a curated record. The transcript is spliced from 2 exons. NCBI's taxonomy places the organism in Eukaryota, Metazoa, Chordata, Actinopteri, Perciformes, Cyclopteridae.